AUUGAACGCUGGCGGCAUGCUUUACACAUGCCAGUCGAACGGUAACAGGCCGCAAGGUGCUGACGAGUGGCGAACGGGUGAGUAAUGCAUCGGAACGUGCCCAGUCGUGGGGGAUAACUACUCGAAAGAGUAGCUAAUACCGCAUACGAUCUAUGGAUGAAAGCGGGGGACCGUAAGGCCUCGCGCGAUUGGAGCGGCCGAUGUCAGAUUAGGUAGUUGGUGGGGUAAAGGCUCACCAAGCCAACGAUCUGUAGCUGGUCUGAGAGGACGACCAGCCACACUGGGACGGAGACACGGCCCAGACUCCUACGGGAGGCAGCAGUGGGGAAUUUUGGACAAUGGGCGCAAGCCUGAUCCAGCAAUGCCGCGUGCAGGAAGAAGGCCUUCGGGUUGUAAACUGCUUUUGUACGGAACGAAACGGCUCUGGUUAAUACCCGGGGCUAAUGACGGUACCGUAAGAAUAAGCACCGGCUAACUACGUG
This 482-nucleotide ribosomal RNA is filed under the name uncultured bacterium. Its description in RNAcentral is "partial 16S ribosomal RNA". It matches the Rfam family "Bacterial small subunit ribosomal RNA", at positions 30 to 507 of the family's 1533-position model. The record is from RNAcentral.